This 254-nucleotide ribosomal RNA is filed under the name uncultured bacterium. RNAcentral describes it as "partial 16S ribosomal RNA". It matches the Rfam family "Bacterial small subunit ribosomal RNA", at positions 524 to 776 of the family's 1533-position model. The record is from RNAcentral.
UACGUAGGGUGCAAGCGUUAAUCGGAAUUACUGGGCGUAAAGCGUGCGCAGGCGGUUGUGCAAGACCGAUGUGAAAUCCCCGGGCUUAACCUGGGAAUGGCAUUGGUGACUGCACGGCUAGAGUGUGUCAGAGGGGGGGUAGAAUUCCACGUGUAGCAGUGAAAUGCGUAGAGAUGUGGAGGAAUACCGAUGGCGAAGGCAGCCCCCUGGGCUAACACUGACGCUCAGGCACGAAAGCGUGGGGAGCAAACAGG